GUGCAUGCCUGUAAUCCCAGCUACCCAGGAGGCUGAGGCAGGAUAAUCUCUUGAACUGAGGAGGUGGAGGUAGCAGUGAGCUGAGAUCACGCCAUUGUACCCCAGCCUGGGCGACAGAGCAAGACUCCAUCUCAAAAAAAAACCACAAAAAUCCACUCAUAUAAAGGGUGAGCUCAGCUCACUGGUCCACUUCUCAGUGCCUUCUCCAUCCUCAUUUGCAAACCUCAGAGGGAUAAAGCAGUUGAACCCGAUGAGCAAGAAUUAUAACAGCAAGGAAUCAUUAAUGUUUAGAAUUCUGAGGUCCAGCACAACUCAGUCUCUAGGAGCUCAGCUCACUGCCCAGGGAUAGGUAUGACCUAUGUCUGCCUUAGGCUGCUGGGAGAAGCCAUUCUCCAGUUUCAGAAGCAGGCAGGGCAAAGGUCAAGACUGUGGUAUUGGAGUCUUUUGGCUCUGAAGGAUCCUGGAACCACUGAUUUUGGUUUAUUCCCUCCAGGGUCUAAAGAGAAAAAGAGGUGCUAGCUCUUACCAAAACAGAUGGUAGAGAGUUGCUGGCUAUUUAAAAGCCCUUUCAUCUUUUAAUUCACUUCUUUUCACUUCUUAACCACCCCACAGGAACAGAACAUUCCUAGGACUGGGAGUCUUACUUUUAGCUCCAUAAGCAAGUGAGCAGAUGGGACAGGUUAGUCUUUUCUCCCUAGAAACAAAGGGCAUGUCUGGUGGUUUCCCUUUGCUUCCCAACCUAAAAUUUCAAGUUUAAUAAAAUAGCAGUUAGCAUAAGUGACCAAAUUGGGAGAUAAUUAUCAAUCAUGAGGAAAGAUACACAUUUCAGUCAUAAAGAAUGUAAGGGCUAUAAGCACAAACUUUCUAUAACCUAAAUGAUGUUAUAGCAUUAGUAUUUUUUAGCAGGAGCAGAAAGAUUAAAUAUGAUCACUUCAUACUUCUAAAUCAGAAAUAGGAAGAUUAAAACCACAGAACAGUUUGUGACUGCUGUUGCUAUAGCUAGGUAUCUUACUCUGUCCACUCUUGUUCAAGUAUCUAACCCUUCUGGAGACCAAAUAGGCUUUAGAAGAGAUUAUCCUAAAUUCCUAUCAGUGUAAUACUAAACUAUAACUUUUUAAUCAUCUGGUUUUUAAAAGAUAAACACAGUUUAGCCCAUCUCUCCAGAGAGCAAACAUAGGAAUAUGCCUCAGGAGCCUUUACUCCUAGGGUUUAUCAUCAGCCCUCAUACCCGUUUCCCCCUCCAACCCACAGUCUUUGCUUCCAGGUGGGGGGAUUACUUCUUUGCCUCUUCAGCAGCAUCUACUCUAGGCAUACUGAUCACUUUGGACACUGGGAGAAGAGAACCUCAAACUAGGAAGAGGGAGCCUACAUUUAGUUUUGGGAGGGGAUGACAGACAGCAAGGAGAUGAGCGUCCUAAGGCAUGCUGGGAUAGGGUCAGAGGCACCACCCAUGGAGAGGUUUGUCAACACAAAGACAUGGAAGGUUAGAGGUUUGUCAACACAAAGACGUGGAAGGUUAGAGGUUUGUCAACACAAAGACAUGGAAGGUUAGAGGUUUGUCAACACAAAGACGUGGAAGGUUAGAGGUUUGUCAACACAAAGACACGGGAAGAAUGGGCUGCAGAAGAUUUAGAUGUUUUCCAUUUGGGCACAUUUAACUUAGCUGGAUAACUUGGUUUAAAACAGCCUGGGUAGGAAAAUUAGAAGCAAGCUGGGUGCAGUGGCUCAUGCCUGUAAUCCCAACACUUUUGGGAGGUCCAGGCAGGAGGAUCGCUUGGGCCCAGGAGGUCAAGCCUGCAGUGAGCUGAGAUCUCCACUGCACUACAGACUAGGGUGAUAGAACAAGACCCUGUCUCAAAAAAAAAAAAAAAGAAAAGAAAAAAAAAAAAAUAGAAGCAGAAUUGAGGAGCUGUACCUCAUUGGCUUCCUGACUCCAAAAUAGGUGCUGAUCCUUCCUAUUUGCCACCUAAGGUUUGUGUGUGGUGUCACCAGCCUGUUUAGCCAAAUGGCUUUGGGCCUAGGCUGCCCAAUCUGAGCAAACACCAGUGAGGCUCUAUUGAGCCAAGACUAGGUCCUCAAAGCACCUGAACCACUGUGGCCUUCUCAGCCUCCAGCACAGUGGUCUCUCACAUGGCCACAAAGGGACACUGACAAAAGGCUCAGAAUGUUAGUGGUAAAAUGAGUGAUCUCAAAUCUACUGACAGAUGUAAAAUAGGCUUAGAGAGGAAAAGCUGCCUCUGGUCAAACAGAUCAUGGCAGAACGAAUUCCAACUCACUUUUUUACAACUCCAACUUCUAUGUUUAUCUUUGUUCAUUUUUUUUACAACCUGGCCAGAGGCAUUUUUUUAAUCAGGUCCAAUAUCAGUACCUUUUUGUGUGUGCCAAUUUUAUUAUCACAUCCCUGUGAAGUUGAAAAAUAAAGUUAAUUUUGACCAAAAGA
This is a long non-coding RNA of Piliocolobus tephrosceles (Ugandan red Colobus), 2440 nucleotides long. RefSeq lists it as uncharacterized. The transcript is spliced from 2 exons. The record is from RefSeq and is a predicted model, not a curated record. NCBI's taxonomy places the organism in Eukaryota, Metazoa, Chordata, Mammalia, Primates, Cercopithecidae.